Molecule: ribosomal RNA, 930 nt
Filed under: uncultured bacterium
Lineage: Bacteria
Also listed under: 1 other name
Description: bacterial SSU rRNA
Rfam family: Bacterial small subunit ribosomal RNA
Source: RNAcentral
UGGCUCAGGACGAACGCUGGCGGCGUGCCUAAUACAUGCAUGUCGAACGAAGCUUUCUUUCACCGAAUGCUUGCAUUCACCGAAAGAAGCUUAGUGGCGAACGGGUGAGUAACACGUAGGCAACCUGCCCAAAAGAGGAGGAUAACACUUGGAAACAGGUGCUAAUACCGCAUAACCAUGAACACCGCAUGAUGUUCAUGUAAAAGACGGCUUUUGCUGUCACUUUUGGAUGGGCCUGCGGCGUAUUAACUUGUUGGUGGGGUAACGGCCUACCAAGGUGAUGAUACGUAGCCGAACUGAGAGGUUGAUCGGCCACAUUGGGACUGAGACACGGCCCAAACUCCUACGGGAGGCAGCAGUAGGGAAUCUUCCACAAUGGACGAAAGUCUGAUGGAGCAACGCCGCGUGAAUGAAGAAGGCCUUCGGGUCGUAAAAUUCUGUUGUCAGAGAAGAACGUGCGUGAGAGUAACUGUUCACGUAUUGACGGUAUCUGACCAGAAAGCCACGGCUAACUACGUGCCAGCAGCCGCGGUAAUACGUAGGUGGCGAGCGUUGUCCGGAUUUAUUGGGCGUAAAGGGAACGCAGGCGGUCUUUUAAGUCUGAUGUGAAAGCCUUCGGCUUAACCGAAGUAGUGCAUUGGAAACUGGAAGACUUGAGUGCGGAAGAGGAGAGUGGAACUCCAUGUGUAGCGGUGAAAUGCGUAGAUAUAUGGAAGAACACCAGUGGCGAAAGCGGCUCUCUGGUCUGUAACUGACGCUGAGGUUCGAAAGCGUGGGUAGCAAACAGGAUUAGAUACCCUGGUAGUCCACGCCGUAAACGAUGAGUGCUAAGUGUUGGAGGGUUUCCGCCCUUCAGUGCUGCAGCUAACGCAUUAAGCACUCCGCCUGGGGAGUACGGUCGCAAGACUGCAACUCAAAUGAAUUGACGGA